GCGUGAGUGGUACCUGGGUUGCUUGCGUAAAUAGACUCUCUGCACGGGCAGCGAACUGUUUGGCAACAUCCCUUCUCAUUAUUUGCUUCAGGAGCCAAUGCUGGCCUUGGAAUGGAUGGUUUCUUGUGUUGAAUGCCCCUACGGUUUGGCACUAUAAUGUCCCAUCGAAAAAAAUUCCCCUCGGCAUCCCUCGGGAAUGGCGGCGAGUGGACUUUUCAUGCGGGGUUUGUUGUCCGUCCACCCAUGGACAAAAUUGUUGUGGGUGAGUGGCCAAUGUUCCUCGGCAGUUCUCUAGGGUGUGGAAUAUUGCUUGGGCGGUGAUCAAUCUCAUCUUCCCAACUAUGAUAUCUCGAAAUGAACGACGGUUUGUAUGUGCGUUGAGCGCUAGUUUUCACUGGUGGCUCAUGCGCAUCGACGUCGCAUGAGGAA
RNAcentral lists this unclassified non-coding RNA (429 nucleotides) under Honckenya peploides. RNAcentral's name for it is "partial contains external transcribed spacer and 18S ribosomal RNA". Lineage: Eukaryota; Viridiplantae; Streptophyta; Magnoliopsida; Caryophyllales; Caryophyllaceae. The record is from RNAcentral.